RNAcentral lists this transfer RNA (65 nucleotides) under Dipodomys ordii (Ord's kangaroo rat). It matches the Rfam family "tRNA". Rfam says of the family: Transfer RNA (tRNA) molecules are approximately 80 nucleotides in length. Their secondary structure includes four short double-helical elements and three loops (D, anti-codon, and T loops). The record is from Rfam by way of RNAcentral. Lineage: Eukaryota; Metazoa; Chordata; Mammalia; Rodentia; Heteromyidae.
GGUGGCUUAGUGGUAGAGCGCUUGCCUAGCAUGCAUGAAACCCUGGGUUCGAUUCCUCAGUACCA